CAACUGAAGAGUUUGAUCCUGGCUCAGAUUGAACGCUGGCGGCAUGGCUAAAACAUGCAAGUUGAACGAUCCCUUCGGGGAGAGUGGCGAAAGGGCGAGGAAUAUAAUCGAAUGUGUCCUAAGGUUGU
RNAcentral lists this ribosomal RNA (128 nucleotides) under Phycisphaerales bacterium. Its description in RNAcentral is "partial 16S ribosomal RNA". It matches the Rfam family "Bacterial small subunit ribosomal RNA", at positions 1 to 140 of the family's 1533-position model. Lineage: Bacteria; Pseudomonadati; Planctomycetota; Phycisphaerae; Phycisphaerales. The record is from RNAcentral.